GACGGGGGGGGCAAGCGUUAUUCGGAAUUAUUGGGCGUAAAGGGCGCGUAGGCGGCCGAUCAAGUCAGAUGUGAAAGUCCUGGGCUUAACCUGGGGACUGCAUUUGAUACUGAUUGGCUUGAAUGCAGGAGAGGAUAGCGGAAUUCCCAGUGUAGAGGUGAAAUUCGUAGAUAUUGGGAAGAACACCGGUGGCGAAGGCGGCUAUCUGGACUGUGAUUGACGCUGAGGCGCGAAAGCGUGGGGAGCAAACAGG
This 253-nucleotide ribosomal RNA is filed under the name uncultured bacterium. RNAcentral's name for it is "partial 16S ribosomal RNA". It matches the Rfam family "Bacterial small subunit ribosomal RNA", at positions 524 to 776 of the family's 1533-position model. The record is from RNAcentral.